AUGCCUAAGUUGCCCCCUCCGACAAACUUUUCCUUCGAUAGGCCAGGAGAGUGGCCGGAGUGGAAGCAGCGUUUUGUGGGAUUCAGAAUCGCAACCAAGCUGGACAAGGAAGAUGGUGCUGUGCAGGUUAGCAGUCUGAUAUACGCUAUGGGAAGCGAGUCGGAGAACAUCUUCCGUUCGUUUAACUUCGACAAUAAUGCACAUAGAGAUGAUUAUGAGAGGGUGCUUGGAAAGUUCGAUGAUUACUUUGUGCCAAGAAGGAAUGUAAUACACCAACGUGCAUGUUUCCAUCUGCGCGUGCAAAGACCAGGAGAAAAAGCUGAAACUUUUAUCAGGGCUUUGUAUGAACUGGCAGAACAUUGCGAAUUUGGCGGGUACAGAGAUGAGAAUAUCCGCGACCGAAUCGUAGUUGGAAUACUCGACAAAGAUGUCUCACGGAAAUUGCAGCUGACAAAGGACUUAACACUAGCGCUGACUAUAGAGACAGUCAGGCAGUCGGAAGAAGUUGCUUCUCAAGUCAGCAUGCAAGGAGAGACAACGGGGGUGAUACAAGAAGUCACUCACGAGCGCAGCAAAUACCCCAAUCACUACGGUAAGCCAAAAGGGGGAAAUAAAGGGCAAUGUGGAUUGUGUGGGAAAGCGUGGCACAGUAAAGAUGAAAAUUGCCCGGCUCGUAAUUCCACAUGCAAUACAUGUAACAAAGUUGGACAUUGGAGUAGAGUGUGUAGGCGCAGGCAGGCAGUGAGUGAGGUUACAGAGCAAACGGAGCAGCAGUCACACUUUCUUGGGGCUGUGAGUAAAGCAGACGGGUCGCCAGAGCAAUGGGCCGUCGAGUUACUGGUGGGCUCUACACCAGUUGACUUCAAAAUGGACACAGGGGCCGAUGUUAACGUCAUCUGCGAGGAAACCUACCACUCACUCAUGCCCAAAAGAGCACUGCAGCCUGCAGAGAUGCCACUGGACAGCCCAGGGGGCGAGCUGCAGUGCAUAGGACAGUUCCAGAGAACUGUGACCUACAAAGGAAAGACUCACCCACUCACAGCAUAUGUCAUCCGCGGACGUACGGUCAACAACCUACUCAGCAGGCCGCUGUCUGUGAAAAUGGAUCUAGUGAGGAGAGUGAAUGAAACGGUGUGCAACAGAGGACAUCCACAGGCAUAUGGCACGCAUGGGACUUUAAAGACUGAACCAGUGAAUACUGCUGAAAGACAAUGCUCAGCCAUAUGCUGUAUACACAGCACGACGCGUGCCUCUCCCUAUGCUGCAAAAGGUAAAGGAGGAGCUCAAGAGGAUGGAGGGAAAUGGCAUCAUCGAGAGGGUGACACAGCCCACGGACUGGUGUGCACCCAUGGUGCCAGUCUUGAAGAGCACAGGUAA
RNAcentral lists this long non-coding RNA (1377 nucleotides) under Gadus morhua (Atlantic cod). RNAcentral's name for it is "lncRNA (ENSGMOG00000025586.1)". Lineage: Eukaryota; Metazoa; Chordata; Actinopteri; Gadiformes; Gadidae. The record is from RNAcentral.